Long non-coding RNA from Haliotis rubra (blacklip abalone), 111 nucleotides. RefSeq lists it as uncharacterized. The transcript is spliced from 3 exons. NCBI's taxonomy places the organism in Eukaryota, Metazoa, Mollusca, Gastropoda, Lepetellida, Haliotidae. The record is from RefSeq and is a predicted model, not a curated record.
CCACAAAUCCUGUUGGGGCAUUCUUUCGAAUAAGGAAAAGUGGUUUUAUAAAGGAAACCAAAUCGCCACUGUAAAUAGUUACAAGUAUUUAGGUGUCUGGUUUUCAAGUAA